This 450-nucleotide ribosomal RNA is filed under the name uncultured Glomus. RNAcentral's name for it is "SSU rRNA". It matches the Rfam family "Eukaryotic small subunit ribosomal RNA", at positions 569 to 1024 of the family's 1831-position model. The record is from RNAcentral. Lineage: Eukaryota; Fungi; Glomeromycota; Glomeromycetes; Glomerales; Glomeraceae.
AGCAGCCGCGGUAAUUCCAGCUCCAAUAGCGUAUAUUAAAGUUGUUGCAGUUAAAAAGCUCGUAGUUGAAUUUCGGGAUCAGUACGCUGGUCGUGCCCUUGGUAUGUACUGGUGUUACUGGUUCCUACCUUCUGACGAACCGUCAUGUCAUUAAUUUGGUGUGGCGGGAAAUCAGGACUGUUACUUUGAAAAAUUAGAGUGUUUAAAGCAGGCUCGCGCUUGAAUACAUUAGCAUGGAAUAAUGAAAUAGGACGUUCGAUCCUAUUUUGUUGGUUUCUAGGAUUGACGUAAUGAUUAAUAGGGAUAGUUGGGGGCAUUAGUAUUCAAUUGUCAGAGGUGAAAUUCUUGGAUUUAUUGAAGACUAACUACUGCGAAAGCAUUUGCCAAGGAUGUUUUCAUUAAUCAAGAACGAAAGUUAGGGGAUCGAAGACGAUCAGAUACCGUCGUAGU